RNAcentral lists this ribosomal RNA (439 nucleotides) under uncultured bacterium. RNAcentral describes it as "partial 16S ribosomal RNA". It matches the Rfam family "Bacterial small subunit ribosomal RNA", at positions 338 to 795 of the family's 1533-position model. The record is from RNAcentral.
CCUACGGGUGGCAGCAGUGGGGAAUAUUGGACAAUGGGGGAAACCCUGAUCCAGCGACGCCGCGUGAGUGAAGAAGUAUUUCGGUACGUAAAGCCCUAUCAGCAGGGAAGAAAAUGACGGUACCUGACUAAGAAGCCCCGGCUAACUACGUGCCAGCAGCCGCGGUAAUACGUAGGGGGCAAGCGUUAUCCGGAUUUACUGGGUGUAAAGGGAGCGUAGACGGCAGAGCAAGUCUGGUGUGAAAUGCAGGGGCCAAACCCCGGAGAGCCGUUGAAACUGGCUGUCUUGAGAUGUCGAGAGGUAUGCGGAAUGCGCAGUGUAGCGGUGAAAUGCUUAGAUAUUGCGCAGAACUCCGAUUGCGAAGGCAGCAUACCGGCGGCGAUCUGACGCUGAGGCACGAAAGCGUGGGUAUCGAACAGGAUUAGAUACCCCUGUAGUC